AUUUGAACAAUAUUGUUACUUUAAUUUUACCAUUUCUAUCACUGCAAAAAUGCGAACUACACCAUUUGGGCUCAGUUAUGCAAAGCCUAUGCUCAUAAAAUUUCAACUUGGAACAACAAGAGAAACACUGGCUAUUUGUAAAUGUGAACUCAUCAACUAGUUGACUCUAUGUUGCUAAUUAAUUCAUAUUAUUCGUAAUUUACCGGCAUUGCGCUUCAGCAUACCAGUUCUCAGCAUGUCCUCAAUCCCUUCUUAAACGAUCUAGGCUCCAUAGCCUGAAUUGUCCAUCGGGUUCCCAGCAACUGCAGGUUCAGGCACCUUGAUCUCAGUGACAACAGCAUCUGAUGUCAAAAAGGUCCUUGCAACUGAAGCUGCAUGCUCCAAGCAACAUCUUACCACUUUUGUAGGAUCAAUUAUACCAGCAGCCAUUAAAUCUUCA
Molecule: unclassified non-coding RNA, 439 nt
Filed under: Hevea brasiliensis (rubber tree)
Lineage: Eukaryota; Viridiplantae; Streptophyta; Magnoliopsida; Malpighiales; Euphorbiaceae
Source: RNAcentral